This 409-nucleotide long non-coding RNA is filed under the name Sorghum bicolor (sorghum). RNAcentral describes it as "long non-coding RNA (SBIC_LNC009160)". The record is from RNAcentral. Lineage: Eukaryota; Viridiplantae; Streptophyta; Magnoliopsida; Poales; Poaceae.
AUGGGCGAGUAGAGGAGAGUGCGGUGAUCUCACCUAGGGGGUCGAUUCAGCUCGAGAAGGAGCAGAAACAGCCGGGCGCUCGCCGCGGCGGAGAGGACUCUCGGCGAGAUCUAGUUCUCACGGAAAACGAAGCUAGAGCUUGGGUUGAACGGCUUAAGUGCGAAAGGGGGUCUACGGGGUUGAUUUGAGAGCUUUAUAAGGGCAUGGCACGCGGAUUGGCAAGGGAUCCCGAGGAAACCGGGAUUUCUCUGCCGUUCGGUGGAGUCUCCCGUUCGGUUACGGUGGAGUAGAAAGGAAGGGGGAAAGGAGUCGGAUGAUGGGUGGGGCUGUGAUGUCGGUGGGAGAAGGGUCAGGGCCCGGUCACCAGAGAGAAGAGAGCGGGAGUAGAGGGCUCGCGCUGGGCUGGCCU